GACGAACGCUGGCGGCACGCUUAACACAUGCAAGUCGAACGGAAAGGCCUGCUUUCCCUUGUGGAUUGCGGGUACUCGAGUAGCGAACGGGUGAGUAACACGUGAGUGAUCUGCCCCCAACUUGGGUAUAAGCCUGGGAAACUGGGUCUAAUUCCCGAUAGGACUGCAGGGUGGUGCCUGUGGUGGAAAACGAUUUUCUAGUGGUUGGGGAUGAGCUCGCGGCCUAUCAGCUUGUUGGUGGGGUAAUGGCCUACCAAGGCGGCGACGGGUAGCCGGCCUGAGAGGGUGGACGGCCACAUUGGGACUGAGAUACGGCCCAGACUCCUACGGGAGGCAGCAGUGGGGAAUAUUGCACAAUGGGCGGAAGCCUGAUGCAGCGACGCCGCGUGGGGGAUGACGGCCUUCGGGUUGUAAACUCCUUUCGACCGCGAGGAAGCCACCUGGUUGGAAGGGUGGUGACGGUAGUGGUAGAAGAAGCACCGGCUAACUACGUG
This 494-nucleotide ribosomal RNA is filed under the name uncultured bacterium. RNAcentral describes it as "partial 16S ribosomal RNA". It matches the Rfam family "Bacterial small subunit ribosomal RNA", at positions 28 to 507 of the family's 1533-position model. The record is from RNAcentral.